CCUACGGGAGGCAGCAGUGAGGAAUAUUGGUCAAUGGGCGGGAGCCUGAACCAGCCAAGUCGCGUGAGGGAAGACGGUCCUAUGGAUUGUAAACCUCUUUAGGCGGGGAGCAAUGCCGGGCACGUGUGCCCGGAGGGAGAGUACCCGCAGAAUAAGCAUCGGCUAACUCCGUGCCAGCAGCCGCGGUAAUACGGAGGAUGCGAGCGUUAUCCGGAUUUAUUGGGUUAAAGGGGUGCGUAGGCGGAUUUUUAAGUCAGCGGUAAAAUGUCCGGGCUCAACCCGGGCCGGCCGUUGAAACUGGGGAGCUUGAGUGGGCGAGAGGUAAGCGGAAUGCGUGGUGUAGCGGUGAAAUGCGUAGAUAUCAGGAAGAACUCCGAUUGCGAAGGCAGCAUACCGGCGCCCGACUGACGCUGAGGCACGAAAGCGUGGGGAUCGAACAGGAUUAGAUACCCCUGUAGUC
RNAcentral lists this ribosomal RNA (460 nucleotides) under uncultured bacterium. Its description in RNAcentral is "partial 16S ribosomal RNA". It matches the Rfam family "Bacterial small subunit ribosomal RNA", at positions 338 to 795 of the family's 1533-position model. The record is from RNAcentral.